AUGGCAUUAUAUGCCUUGGUCAUAUUCUAUCACUUGUUUGCCAAGGAGUUGGUAGCUCACAAGCCUCUUGCUAUGUUUUUGUGCAUGAAAGGGAUUGUCUUGUCUUUCUCGCUGGUAAACCACUUCCUCUCCUGGCGUAAAGACUUCUGA
Molecule: ribosomal RNA, 150 nt
Filed under: Triticum aestivum (bread wheat)
Lineage: Eukaryota; Viridiplantae; Streptophyta; Magnoliopsida; Poales; Poaceae
Description: partial small subunit ribosomal RNA
Source: RNAcentral